UGGGCUAUCGCCAAGCGGUAAGGCAAAGGACUUUGACUCCUUCAUUCGUUGGUCCGAAUCCAACUAGCCCAG
This 72-nucleotide transfer RNA is filed under the name Lachnospiraceae bacterium. Its description in RNAcentral is "tRNA-Gln". It matches the Rfam family "tRNA". From Rfam's summary of the family: Transfer RNA (tRNA) molecules are approximately 80 nucleotides in length. Their secondary structure includes four short double-helical elements and three loops (D, anti-codon, and T loops). RNAcentral also lists the same sequence under 2 other names. Lineage: Bacteria; Bacillati; Bacillota; Clostridia; Lachnospirales; Lachnospiraceae. The record is from RNAcentral.